AGACGCUGGCGGCGUGCCUAACACAUGCAAGUCGAGCGGGGUUGAAGCGAGGGGUAACGUCGAGUUUCUACCUAGCGGCGGACGGGUGAGUAACGCGUGGGCAACCUGCCUCAAGGACUGGGAUAACAGCUCGAAAGGGCUGCUAAUACCGGAUAUGCCUGUGGCCUCGCAUGGGGCUAUGAGCAAAGGGAAACCCGCCUUGAGAUGGGCCCGCGUCCCAUCAGCUAGUUGGUGAGGUGAAGGCUCACCAAGGCGACGACGGGUAGCCGGCCUGAGAGGGUGACCGGCCACACUGGGACUGAGACACGGCCCAGACUCCUACGGGGGGCAGCAGUGGGGAAUCUUGCACAAUGGGCGAAAGCCUGAUGCAGCGACGCCGCGUGAGCGAAGAAGGCCUUCGGGUUGUAAAGCUCUGUCUGGAGGGACGAAGGAAGUGACGGUACCUCCGGAGGAAGCCACGGCUAACUACGUG
This 472-nucleotide ribosomal RNA is filed under the name uncultured bacterium. Its description in RNAcentral is "bacterial SSU rRNA". It matches the Rfam family "Bacterial small subunit ribosomal RNA", at positions 33 to 507 of the family's 1533-position model. The record is from RNAcentral.